This 476-nucleotide ribosomal RNA is filed under the name uncultured bacterium. RNAcentral describes it as "bacterial SSU rRNA". It matches the Rfam family "Bacterial small subunit ribosomal RNA", at positions 30 to 504 of the family's 1533-position model. The record is from RNAcentral.
UGAACGCUGGCGGCAGGCCUAACACAUGCAAGUCGAGCGAGAAAGCACUUCGGUGCGAGUACAGCGGCGGACGGGUGAGUAACGCGUAGGAAUCUACCCAGUAGUGGGGGACAACAUGGUGAAAACCAUGCUAAUACCGCAUACGCCCUAUGGGGGAAAGCGGGGGACCUUCGGGCCUCGCGCUAUUGGAUGAGCCUGCGUCGGAUUAGCUUGUUGGUGAGGUAAAAGCUCACCAAGGCGACGAUCCGUAGCUGGUCUGAGAGGAUGAUCAGCCACACUGGAACUGAGACACGGUCCAGACUCCUACGGGAGGCAGCAGUGGGGAAUAUUGCGCAAUGGGCGAAAGCCUGACGCAGCCAUGCCGCGUGUGUGAAGAAGGCCUUAGGGUUGUAAAGCACUUUCAAUUGGGAAGAAAAGUUGAUCGUUAAUAGCGAUCAGCCCUGACAUUACCUUUAGAAGAAGCACCGGCUAACUCC